This 465-nucleotide ribosomal RNA is filed under the name Vreelandella stevensii. Its description in RNAcentral is "partial 16S ribosomal RNA". It matches the Rfam family "Bacterial small subunit ribosomal RNA", at positions 338 to 795 of the family's 1533-position model. Lineage: Bacteria; Pseudomonadati; Pseudomonadota; Gammaproteobacteria; Oceanospirillales; Halomonadaceae. The record is from RNAcentral.
CCUACGGGAGGCAGCAGUGGGGAAUAUUGGACAAUGGGGGCAACCCUGAUCCAGCCAUGCCGCGUGUGUGAAGAAGGCCCUCGGGUUGUAAAGCACUUUCAGUGAGGAAGAACGCCUGGUGGUUAAUACCCAUCAGGAAAGACAUCACUCACAGAAGAAGCACCGGCUAACUCCGUGCCAGCAGCCGCGGUAAUACGGAGGGUGCGAGCGUUAAUCGGAAUUACUGGGCGUAAAGCGCGCGUAGGUGGCUUGAUAAGCCGGUUGUGAAAGCCCCGGGCUCAACCUGGGAACGGCAUCCGGAACUGUCAAGCUAGAGUGCAGGAGAGGAAGGUAGAAUUCCCGGUGUAGCGGUGAAAUGCGUAGAGAUCGGGAGGAAUACCAGUGGCGAAGGCGGCCUUCUGGUCUGACACUGACACUGAGGUGCGAAAGCGUGGGUAGCAAACAGGAUUAGAUACCCGAGUAGUC